AGCCUCGUAAUGUACAGCAUAUGAAAUUGCAAAUUUCAAAGAACGACCUAAUUUUCGUCGGGGCUU
RNAcentral lists this transfer RNA (66 nucleotides) under Ambystoma laterale (blue-spotted salamander). RNAcentral's name for it is "tRNA-Cys". The record is from RNAcentral. Lineage: Eukaryota; Metazoa; Chordata; Amphibia; Caudata; Ambystomatidae.